CGGUUUAAUUGGAUUCAACGCCGGAAUACUUACCGGGACCGACAGCAAUAUGAAGGCCAGGCUGAAGACUUUGCCGGAUUAGCUGAGAGGUGGUGCAUGGCCGUCGUCAGUUCGUACUGUGAAGCAUCCUGUUAAGUCAGGCAACGAGCGAGACCCACGCCCACAGUUGCCAGCGUACUCUCUGGAGUGACGGGUACACUGUGGGGACCGCCGCUGCUAAAGCGGAGGAAGGAAUGGGCAACGGUAGGUCAGCAUGCCCCGAAUUAUCUGGGCUACACGCGGGCUACAAUGGGUGGGACAAUGGGUAUCGACACCGAAAGGUGAAGGCAAUCUCCUAAACCCAUCCGUAGUUCGGAUUGUGGGCUGCAACUCGCCCACAUGAAGCUGGAAUCUGUAGUAAUCGUGUCUCAAAAUGGCACGGUGAAUAUGUCCCUGCUCCUU
Molecule: ribosomal RNA, 441 nt
Filed under: uncultured Methanolinea sp.
Lineage: Archaea; Methanobacteriati; Methanobacteriota; Methanomicrobia; Methanomicrobiales; Methanoregulaceae
Description: bacterial SSU rRNA
Rfam family: Archaeal small subunit ribosomal RNA
Source: RNAcentral